Molecule: long non-coding RNA, 836 nt
Organism: Salvelinus fontinalis (brook trout)
Lineage: Eukaryota; Metazoa; Chordata; Actinopteri; Salmoniformes; Salmonidae
Exons: 2
Source: RefSeq, a predicted model, not a curated record
ACCUCACCAGAAAAAAACCGACAGAUGGAUUCAGCGGAGCUGCAGCUACGUCUAGCCCGACAGGAGUAACGAAUCGAUGAAGUCUGCGACCUCCUUCGCCAGUCCAUUCCUGCUUCAUCGAUAUCAGGCGCACCUCGGCACACCCCCUCCAUUUGACGUCAGCGGUGCACCGGCUUAUUUCGUCCAAGCCCUCCUUGACUCCAAGCGCCUGGGUGGUCGCAUCCACUACCUGGUGGAUUGGGAGGGUUACGGACGCGAAGAACAGUCCUAGUUCCCCGCCCAGGACAUCCUCGACCCAGCCAUGAUCCUGGCUUUCCACUGUAAACGUCCGGACCGCCCAGCUCCAUGCCCCCUGCUCAGCUUCCUAGGCCGUCAAGAGCCGCCCGUGGAGGGGGGGGGUACUGUAACGUCUACUUCCAACUCACACUCCCAAACACGUAGAUCUCCUGAAAGCACCUCACUUUCCAGCCCACUUUCCAGCUCACACUCUCAAACGCCUAGAUCCCCUGAACGCAGCUCACUCUCCAGGUCCCAAUCACCUGAACUCUAAUCAUCUGUUCACACAACCGUAUGUCAUUAUCACACACUAUUUAAUUAAGUUCUUUGCACCCCAUCACUGUGAGGUAUUGUUUGUUUUGUGACACAAUUCUUUCGGCGCUGUUUUUCCCGUGAUUUGAUAGUAUUUCCCGGACUAUGUUACUAGCCUUUUCCCUGCCUGUACUCUUGCCCUUUUGGACCCCCUAUGUAUGACCUUCUGCCUGCCCCUGGACUCAGCUACCUGCCUCCUUCUGUGGUCCUUCGCAAUAAACACCUGCGGCGCCCUGCACUUGAAACCA